Equus caballus (horse) is the source of this 84-nucleotide non-coding RNA. NCBI's taxonomy places the organism in Eukaryota, Metazoa, Chordata, Mammalia, Perissodactyla, Equidae. The record is from Rfam.
GGCCUCCAUGCUCCUAGUCCCUUCCUUGAAGGGUCGGAUAAGUCACAUGACGAGCCUCAAGCAAGGGACUUUGAGCUGGUGGCU